CCUACGGGAGGCUGCAGUGAGGAAUAUUGGUCAAUGGGCGGAAGCCUGAACCAGCCAAGUAGCGUGCGGGAUGAAGGCCCUACGGGUCGUAAACCGCUUUUGCACGGGGAUAACACGCUCCACUUGUGGAGGUCUGCAGGUACCGUGCGAAUAAGGGCCGGCUAAUUCCGUGCCAGCAGCCGCGGUAAUACGGGAGGCCCGAGCGUUAUCCGGAUUCAUUGGGCGUAAAGGGAACGUAGGCGGGCGUUCAAGUCAGCGGUAAAAUCGACCGGCUCAACCGCGCGCCGCAGUUGAAACUGGGCGCCUUGAGUUCACAACAGGCAGGCGGAAUUCGUGGUGUAGCGGUGA
Molecule: ribosomal RNA, 348 nt
Filed under: uncultured bacterium
Lineage: Bacteria
Description: partial 16S ribosomal RNA
Rfam family: Bacterial small subunit ribosomal RNA
Source: RNAcentral